RNAcentral lists this microRNA precursor (130 nucleotides) under Chlorocebus sabaeus (green monkey). RNAcentral describes it as "miRNA (ENSCSAG00000024486.1)". Lineage: Eukaryota; Metazoa; Chordata; Mammalia; Primates; Cercopithecidae. The record is from RNAcentral.
CAUCAGCCCGGCUGCGCCUGGCCACUUCCUCAUACUGGGCCUUGACCUCAGCGAUGAUCCCGUCAAGGUCCAGGUCACGGCUGUUGUCCAUCUUCACAAUGACCGAUGUCUCUGAGAUGUGUGACUGCAG